UGUCCUACGGGACGCAGCAGUGGGGAAUAUUGCACAAUGGGGGAAACCCUGAUGCAGCGACGCCGCGUGAGCGAAGAAGUACCUCGGUAUGUAAAGCUCUAUCAGCAGGGAAGAAGAUGACGGUACCUCUUGAAUAAGCCACGGCUAACUACGUGCCAGCAGCCGCGGUAAUACGUAGGUGGCAAGCGUUGUCCGGAUUUACUGGGUGUAAAGGGCGUGCAGCCGGGAAGACAAGUCAGAUGUGAAAUCCCGCGGCUCAACCGCGGAACUGCAUUUGAAACUGUUUUUCUUGAGUAGAGGAGAGG
RNAcentral lists this ribosomal RNA (305 nucleotides) under uncultured bacterium. Its description in RNAcentral is "bacterial SSU rRNA". It matches the Rfam family "Bacterial small subunit ribosomal RNA", at positions 335 to 657 of the family's 1533-position model. The record is from RNAcentral.